AAGGAAUUAAGCAACCACCUGAUGAUUUUAGAGUGCAAAUGUGCUGUUGUGCAUCUCCCCAGCUCAUCUGCUCUGGAAGCACUCAGAGGCCAAUCUCUUGAAGGUCAUUUCAGACCAUUGGACUAGCAGGGCAUCAAGGCUUGGCUGGCAGCCUCCACAGGACAUGGAGCAGCAGUCAUCUGGCACAAGCUAUCAGUAGGACUCAUGACCUGAUGAGUGCAGAGGAGGCCUGGAAAGAAAACUCAUGUGGGGCAGAUUUCUCUUGAACUUACUCUAAUAAGGAGUCAUCGGGCUUAUCCCUACUAUAAAAAACCAACGAUCCAGGACCCAAACUCCACAGG
Molecule: long non-coding RNA, 341 nt
Organism: Manacus vitellinus (golden-collared manakin)
Lineage: Eukaryota; Metazoa; Chordata; Aves; Passeriformes; Pipridae
Exons: 3
Source: RefSeq, a predicted model, not a curated record